RNAcentral lists this ribosomal RNA (568 nucleotides) under Moesziomyces aphidis. Its description in RNAcentral is "eukaryotic LSU rRNA". It matches the Rfam family "Eukaryotic large subunit ribosomal RNA", at positions 104 to 656 of the family's 3401-position model. The record is from RNAcentral. Lineage: Eukaryota; Fungi; Basidiomycota; Ustilaginomycetes; Ustilaginales; Ustilaginaceae.
AAACCAGAUUCGUAGCUGGCGUCUUCGGCGUCCGCAUUGUAAUCUCAAGAAGUGUUUUCCGCUUCGGACCAUGCCUAAGUCCCUUGGAAAAGGGCAUCAUAGAGGGUGAUAAUCCCGUACAUGGCAUGGAGCGCCCGAAGCUUUGUGAUACGCUUUCUAAGAGUCGAGUUGUUUGGGAAUGCAGCUCAAAAUGGGUGGUAAAUGCCAUCUAAGGCUAAAUAUUGGGGAGAGACCGAUAGCGAACAAGUACAGUGAUGGAAAGAUGAAAAGAACUUUGAAAAGAGAGUUAAACAGUACGUGAAAUUGCCAAAAGGGAAGGGUAGGAGGUCAGAGAUGCGGCCUGGGAUUCAGCCUUGCUUUUGCUUGGUGUUUUUCCCAGAUUGCAGGCCAACGUCGGUUUUGGGCACUGGAGAAGGGUAGGAGGAACGUGGCACCUCUCGGGGUGUGUUAUAGCCUCCUACUGGAUACAGCGACCGAGACCGAGGACAGCAGCGUACUCGCAAGAGCGGGCCUUCGGGCACCUUUACGCUUAGGGCGUUGGCAUAAUGGCCCUCUACCACCCGUCUUG